RNAcentral lists this transfer RNA (71 nucleotides) under Nihonogomphus semanticus. Its description in RNAcentral is "tRNA-Tyr". It matches the Rfam family "tRNA". Rfam says of the family: Transfer RNA (tRNA) molecules are approximately 80 nucleotides in length. Their secondary structure includes four short double-helical elements and three loops (D, anti-codon, and T loops). Further hydrogen bonds mediate the characteristic L-shaped molecular structure. tRNAs have two regions of fundamental functional importance: the anti-codon, which is responsible for specific mRNA codon recognition, and the 3' end, to which the tRNAs corresponding amino acid is attached (by aminoacyl-tRNA synthetases). tRNAs cope with the degeneracy of the genetic code in two manners: having more than one tRNA (with a specific anti-codon) for a particular amino acid; and 'wobble' base-pairing, i.e. permitting non-standard base-pairing at the 3rd anti-codon position. Lineage: Eukaryota; Metazoa; Arthropoda; Insecta; Odonata; Gomphidae. The record is from RNAcentral.
GAUAGGAUGGUCGAGAAUAUUAGGCGAUAGACUGUAAAUCUAUAUAGGAGGAAUUUAAUCCUCUCUUAUCA